This is a long non-coding RNA of Cyclopterus lumpus (lumpfish), 268 nucleotides long. RefSeq lists it as uncharacterized. Lineage: Eukaryota; Metazoa; Chordata; Actinopteri; Perciformes; Cyclopteridae. The transcript is spliced from 2 exons. The record is from RefSeq and is a predicted model, not a curated record.
GUCACUUUCGUCACUGCUCGACUCCUCCUCCCACUCGUCGUCAGAAGGGUCUUAAAAAAGGCACACAUACAAAGAAUUGAUCCAGGAGACCAGCCAAAUGCAGGUUGACACAAGUGCCCGGGGUCAGCACUGCUGUCCAUGUCCACAACACUCACCGUCAGAGCAGCACAUGUUGACGAUGAUCUCCAAGGACGUUUGCUGGGCUGUCAGCAAGGCCGUUGCCUCCUUCAGCUCCUCCUUGUCCCUCUGGACAAAAACAAGCAGCCAC